CCCCGGCACCCUCGGCUGCACCCCCUCAGCCCCUAACUCCCACCCCCAUCGGGCGGGUACUUACAGUUCCCAUCUGCAGAGGGGGGCAACUUUCUCCAGGCCAGCAGUGGCCGCCGCCGCCGCCCCCUCCAGCCGCCUGGGGCUCCACGCACCCUCCGGCCUGGGUUCGCGCCUGCCGGCCGGCCAGCCAGCCCUCCCCUCCCCCCCUGCGCUCGCCUCCUCGCCGUCUUCACCACAUUCCCCCCUGGUCAGUGGCGCACGCCCGGGGCCGAGCCAGAGGGAGCGGGGCGCGAGGAGGGUGUGCAUGCAUCGCCCGCCUUCUUCUUGCAGCGCACGCUGUACAUGGUAGUGAGGGGGCGAGCGAAGGUGGCACCGGCCCCUCAGCUGCUCCCGCGGCGGCGGCGGCUGCGGCUGCUGCGCUGUCCUCCGCCCCCCGCGCGGCGGCGACCACCGCGCUGGGAUCCCGCCGCCGCUUUCCCUCUCGCCGAGCCGCGGCCGCGGCCCCCUAGUUAGAAUUCGAACCGCUCCCGCAUUCUCUUGACGGUUUCAUUGCUCCAGGCGUUUGCAGGCUUUUUUGUUUUUUCCUUUUUAAAAAAUUAUUAUUCCUCUGUCCCUUCCCUAGCUGCGGCGCCCGGUCGUCAUUAUUCGGAACUCUUUAUCUCCGACAUCCUUUGGGGUGCCUGGGGAGGGAGGGGGCAGGGACAGCGUUGUUCUACGCCUGUGGCGUGUCCUGGCCGCCCGGAGGUUCUAAAAAAAAAAAAAAAAAACUCCUCAGAGAAAGUCGCGUCUUCCCCGGAGCCGGCGCCGAGGGGCUGGCAGCGCGGUAAGCAUGGCCGGGGAUCCCUGAGGCGUCUGCUCCGAAGCGGGUGCAGGGCCCCGUCCGGUGCACUUGUUUAUUGUCGCGCCUCUGGUGCGAGCCAAGCUGCAGCAGACAUGAUGGGCCCGGGGCGAAGCGGGCGCGCGGUGGCCGAUAGAUGGCAGCCGCGGGCGGAGACGUCCUUCGGCUCCGGCGGCGCCGCCGGAGCCCCCGCGCGGAUGGCACAUUCGGGGGAGAUGGAGGAGUCUUGCACGGUGUGCGUGAUGCGAGCGUGGCACUGUGCAGUCCUCAGACGGAGAGAGAGAGAGAGGAGUGGUGAGGGCCCCGCCGGUGCCGGGCUCGGUGGUGGUCAGGGGCGGCCGAGGUCAGCCCUGGUCAGCUCGCCUGCCUGCCUCCUGUCUUUCAGUGGAACGCAGCCGUGGCUGCUGCCUCAGGUGUGUGCGGGUAAUACCAGGAACUGUGAACGACUUUUUGGAAAGAAUGUGAAUAAUUUGGUGUGCACUGUAAAGCCAGGAAGCCCCUGGAUACAAGCAGUGUCGAUAGAAAGCCAGUUUGCUGAAGAGCCACCUGCUAAACUCCACUAGUGUCGUCACUACAGAUCCCUCUACUUAAUCAGAUCCGACUUCAUCGACAGCUUGCUCUGGUUAAUUACCUCAGUGUUUUAACUGAGUGCCUCAAGGUAUUGAUGUGGCUGAUGAGCACUUCAAGCCUCAGAACACUGGAACACUUGGCAGCACUCUGGAGGCAGCUCAUCAAUUUCUAAGGUAUUUAUUAUUUUUAAAAGCUCCAUAAAGUCUAUAGAUAUGUGGAUAUAUACAUGACAGUGGGUAAAGAGCCUAAUGAACUGAAAAUAUUUCAAAAAAGGAAAAAUCAUUUUCUUGUUAUUACUUAGGCCAUGUACUGUGAACCACUAUUGUGCUUUCUUUACAAACUCCAAGCGGCUAUUUUACAUAACAAUGCUUAGAAUUUUGACACGAUAUGAUAUUUUAAGUUAUUAGAGUCACUGAAUUGAGAAAUGGUAUUUUCUUAGUAUAGUAUGUACAUCAUUGGCCUAGGCAUCAGGAAACAAAUUUGUGGUUUCAAGUUAACUACCUGUGGUCUGUGUGACCUUGGUACUCUAGCAUGAUCACUGAAAGAGGUAUCUUCUCCCUAUCUGAGAAAAUAGUUUUCUCACCUACUUACCAAGCAAGGAUCAUCUUUCCACCUGCCAUGUGCCAUUUCCCAAAUCCAGUGUUCUUCAAUCUCAUCACAGGUUUUGUUGUUGUUUGAUGCUUUCUCUCUUGCCUUUAGGCCAUUGCACCUUCAUAUCAGUGCAAAAUUUGGAGGCAUGAUCCUGGAACUUUCUCACUUUGCUACUCACAUUUAUCCCUGCAUGUAUAUUUAUGUAUCUUUUUAUUGCAAUGUAGAUGUCAUUUCCUCCGUGGAAAACUUCCUGACUGUCCUCUUGGUCACAUACUAAAUUUCUUGUGUGUGCUCCCAUGACUCUAGGGUGAACAUAAAUCCUGUAUUUCCAGACAGUCCCAAUUUAUAUCUUAUUUCCUAACAACUAUUAAUAAUGAUCAGUUUCAGUGUUCCAGUUUGUAUAAUAAAUUAUACAGUUGCACUAUACA
RNAcentral lists this long non-coding RNA (2427 nucleotides) under Oryctolagus cuniculus (rabbit). RNAcentral's name for it is "lncRNA (ENSOCUG00000034888.1)". The record is from RNAcentral. Lineage: Eukaryota; Metazoa; Chordata; Mammalia; Lagomorpha; Leporidae.